RNAcentral lists this long non-coding RNA (1280 nucleotides) under Anas platyrhynchos platyrhynchos (common mallard). RNAcentral describes it as "lncRNA (ENSAPLG00000020410.1)". Lineage: Eukaryota; Metazoa; Chordata; Aves; Anseriformes; Anatidae. The record is from RNAcentral.
CAAUAAAAAAGGUCUUAGCCCAGAUUUGUGUCUUUACACUGGCUGUGGCUGGACUUUCUUUCUGGAAAGCAGAGCUAAGCCAUUUUCUCAAGGGAAAUGAAGGAAGCAGAGACAAGUCAAUGUCGCUGACCCUGGUGUCUUCUUUCUCUGGAAUAAAUGUCAUAACAAGAUCUCUUAGUCUGAACAGCUCUUCAAUUGGAGUACUUCAAAGGGCUGAUUUUCCUCUGCAUCUCAGUAAAAACUAAGCACUUUCCAGGUUCUUUGCAAACUGUGUUCUGUACUAGUGCCAUUUGAAGCAUGCUUUUUAGCAAUUUGAUGGCAGGAAUUAGAAAACUUGUCAGGUGGCCUUUCUUGUGAUGGAGGAGAUCAGCGGUGGGCAACUCUAACACCAAGAUACAAGAUGACUCUCAGAAGCCAAAUCUGUAAACCUGAUUUUAGUGCCGAGCAUCAUCAGAGGACUCAUUUACUCUGGGAUUUGAGCCACUUGGGUGGAGCUGUCUUGAAGAGACUGAAAAAAUUGCAGUGUUUGUCUGGAGAGAAACCCUUUCCUCUUGCUGCUUGAUAGGCUCAUGAACCUAUAGAUUCACAGCAGAUCCUGUUUUUGAGUGAACACCUCAUUUCAGUGCUGAUGUGGCACAGCUUCAGCUCUGGUCCCAGCUGGAAGCUCAGCUGCAGUGAGAUAAAGGGCCACUUGUUUAAAGGCAGAGCCUCCUGUGGGUGUCAGCAGGGCUAUGGCAGCAGGCAACUGCUAGGGCACCAGGAUUUCCUUGUUUCCCUUGUCCUAAGGCUUUCCAGUUUCACUUCUCAGCACCUUCAUUUCCUCAUACAUGAGCCACAUUUAGCAAGAAGACAUUAUCUCCCUUCUCAGUGUGAUGUGAAGCUGUUUUGGGGAUGUUUAUACAGCUCUUCGCAAAACUCUAAGGAAGGAUGUUCUUGAGUGAGAAGGGAAUCAACACGUACUUCCACAGCUAGGGAGCUGUACUUCACUCUUCUGCCUUUCAGCGGGGAUAAUGGAGAAAGGAGCAGUGCUCAAACACUGCAGUCAGGCAAGUGCCCUGCUCUCAGAGGUCUACCAAGGAUGCAGGUCACAGAGUAAUCUUCCAUCAUUUCAGUCUUCAUCCUGGUGCCUUACAAACAGAGGUUUACUUGAAGCCCACAGCAGAGAUUAUAAUAUACUCUGAAAUUAGUUCAGUGUACUUUUUUGUUUGUUUGUUUGCUUGUUUGUUUUAAUCACCUUGGAUGCUCUUAUUAAAUAAAGAAUGACUGUGACUUUUCUCCCA